GACGAACGUUGGCGGCGUGCUUAAUACAUGCAAGUCGACUGAAGCAGCGGUAGCAUUAUCGCUCUGGAGGUGGCGCCCGGGUGGGUAACACGUAGGUAAUCUGCCUUCUGGUCUGGCAUAACUCCGGCGAACCGGCGCUACUAACAGCUGAUGCAGCGGCUCGCCAUCGAGACCAUUAUUGAAGCUCUGGCGCCCUAUGAUGUGCCUGCGUCUGAUUGGCUAGUUAGCGGGUUAACAAGCCACCAAGGCAACGAUCAGUAGCUGGGCUGAGAGGCUGAUCAGGAACACUGGAACGGAGACACGGCCCAGAGGCCUACGGGAGGCAGAAGUAAGGAAUAUUGCUCAAUGGGAGAAAUCCUGAAGCAGCAACGCCGCGGGAGGGACGAAGGGCUUUUGCUUGUAAACCUAUGUAGUGAGAGAAAAAAAUCCCAAUCUUUGGGACAUGAUGGUAUCCAAAAAGUAAGCCCCGGCUAACUACGUG
RNAcentral lists this ribosomal RNA (481 nucleotides) under uncultured bacterium. Its description in RNAcentral is "partial 16S ribosomal RNA". It matches the Rfam family "Bacterial small subunit ribosomal RNA", at positions 28 to 507 of the family's 1533-position model. The record is from RNAcentral.